Molecule: ribosomal RNA, 301 nt
Filed under: uncultured bacterium
Lineage: Bacteria
Description: partial 16S ribosomal RNA
Rfam family: Bacterial small subunit ribosomal RNA
Source: RNAcentral
CAGCAGCCGCGGUAAUACGAAGGGGGCUAGCGUUGUUCGGAAUUACUGGGCGUAAAGCGCACGUAGGCGGAUAUUUAAGUCAGGGGUGAAAUCCCGCAGCUCAACUGCGGAACUGCCUUUGAUACUGGGUAUCUUGAGUAUGGAAGAGGAUAGUGGAAUUGCGAGUGUAGAGGUGAGAUUCGUAGAUAUUCGCAGGAACACCAGUGGCGAAGGCGGCUAACUGGUCCAUAACUGACGCUGAGGUGCGAAAGCGUGGGGAGCAAACAGGAUUAGAUACCCCAGUAGUCCCUGUCUCUUAUAA